CCUACGGGAGGCAGCAGUGGGGAAUAUUGCGCAAUGGGGGAAACCCUGAUGCAGCAACGCCGCGUGAAGGAAGAAGGUUUUCGGGUUGUAAACUUCUUUUGUCAGGGAAGAAAAUGACGGUAGCUAACGAAUAAGCACCGGCUAACUCCGUGCCAGCAGCCGCGGUAAUACGGAGGGGGCAAGCGUUAUUCGGAAUCACUGGGUGUAAAGAGCGCGUAGGCGGGAUAGCAAGUCAGAUGUGAAAUCCCAUGGCUGAACCCCAGAACUGCAUUUGAAACUGUGUUUCUUGAGUACGGGAGAGGCAGGCGGAAUUCCUGGUGUAGCGGUGAAAUGCGUAGAGAUCAGGAGGAAAACCAGUGGCGAAGGCGGCCUGCUGGACCGUAACUGACGCUGAGGCGCGAAAGCGUGGGGAGCAAACAGGAUUAGAUACCCCAGUAGUC
This 440-nucleotide ribosomal RNA is filed under the name uncultured bacterium. RNAcentral describes it as "partial 16S ribosomal RNA". It matches the Rfam family "Bacterial small subunit ribosomal RNA", at positions 338 to 795 of the family's 1533-position model. The record is from RNAcentral.